GGUAGAUGGAGGGUACCGGUCGCGGGGGAGGAUGGCGGCCGACGGUGGCUGCUGCCUAGGUGCUGGGAGUGGUGGCCUAGGCGGUAGCAGACCUAGGUGUACUGGCGCAGGGUUGGAAGCUGCCCCGGGACAGCUACGAGAAUGGCUGGUACCUGGACACGGAGGUGGAGGGGGCCACGCCGGUGUUGGUGGCCUAGGUCGGCGGUGGCCGGGGGUUACGCUGGAGUGGGCGGGCUAGGCCGGCGGUGGCGGGGGGAUGCUGGUGAUGGCCUCGAUGAUACGCGCUGUAAACCAACGGGCGUUAGCGCCUAGGGACGGCAGCGUGGCCGCCUACUGAGUCCAUUAAAGAGGAAGAAAGGGGAAGAGGAGCGGGCAGUGAGGGGAUAGACAACAAGGUAGCUUAUUAAGGGUUGCGGAGGAGAUAAAACAUACAGACCGUUCUUCCACUUUUAACGUAAUCACGUCGGGUGAGGCAGACAACAAAAAAACCCGAGUUUACGUCCAGUGAUGCAGGUGUAGCAACCACGAAGCUCCCAGCUGGACGUCAAUCGGGGAUGGGAGGCACAGGAUCGCCGGUGGUGUACGCCCGCUGACGUGGGUAGCAGUCGUGCUCUUCCCCAGGAGGCUGCUCACGCGCACGUCAUGGGAAAUCCCCACUCCGUGAACGAAAAACCGACAGCUGUGGAGGUAGUGGGUCAAAACCGACAGCUACCUCUGGUAGCCACUUCAAACGGUGGAGGGGCGGAAGAUGACGGCGCGACUCACCAGUACGUCUAGGACGUCCCGAGGUCGGGCCGCACGUGUCGAGCACGCGUGUGUACUAGGCCAAGUCACGAUCCCGUGAGCGUCAGAAAAAACGCACGUCGACGUCAGGCAAACCUGAAGCACACAUCACUUCAAGCCCGCUCGGUACUACUGUCUUUUCCUUCCUUUAAUUCACCCAGCCUUUCCCUUGUCUUAAUUUUGGGGUGAACGGCUCCUCUGUUGUUAGGCGUUCGUAGUACGCGUACGUCAAGGAAAACAUAUACGAAUGUUACGCCACACACAUACACACGACAUGUGGGGGUAGCGAAUAAAACACACCGUCGAGUAAUCUGG
RNAcentral lists this ribosomal RNA (1098 nucleotides) under Triticum aestivum (bread wheat). RNAcentral's name for it is "partial small subunit ribosomal RNA". Lineage: Eukaryota; Viridiplantae; Streptophyta; Magnoliopsida; Poales; Poaceae. The record is from RNAcentral.